Molecule: long non-coding RNA, 2240 nt
Filed under: Trifolium pratense (red clover)
Lineage: Eukaryota; Viridiplantae; Streptophyta; Magnoliopsida; Fabales; Fabaceae
Description: long non-coding RNA (TPRA_LNC003782)
Source: RNAcentral
GGUCGAUGGUUCGAACGUGGAUUGGUUCAAUGGCGGUGGACGCCGACAGCUUGUCUGAUCACUUUGUUCAGUUCACCCAGUCAGUAGGUGGUCGGCGGGCACGACAAUCCUUUAUGCAGCUCAUUUGGCUCGCUCGUGUUUGGAUUAUGUGGCACGAGAGAAAUUACAAGUUGUUCAGGAACACAGCUUCUGUAACCACCCUAACCCAAUAUUCAAUUUAUCUUAAUAAAAGAAUGUUUGUUCAAAAACUACGCAGUGGAUAAAAAGUUUUAAAACUCGAAGUCGAAAUGAAUUAUGAAAUAUUGGCUCAAGGUGUUACAUUCUUCAUUAAAAAAACACUACUAAUAAAAUUGAGUAGUAAAUAUAACUUAUGCAAAAUUCCUUUUAUACAAUAUACACAUUUAAUUUAAAUAAAACAACAACAACAACAAAUAAAGACUCUAUGAACCCUUCCCCGUGUCACAAUCAGAGCGAAACUUUUACCAACAACUUGAACACCAACAAAUAUACAACCUGAGAACCUGAACCCCCAACGGUUCAGCACAACACAAAAUAGAGGUUAGAUAACAUAAUUAUUAAAAGUGACUGAAUAUAACGCAUAUCAGACACUGAAUAAAAUAAAUACAAUUGAGUAAAUUCAACUCAUACAAUCACCACAUAUACAGACAUGUAUUAGACAUAUUCAUUUAUCAAUUACUCGUCACAUUUGAGAAGUAAAAACUCUUGAACAAAGAAAUGAAAUACACAAUGUCGAGUAACAUUUAACAUUUAAGAAUGUCACAUAAUUUCUAAUGCAUUUUAAUGUCACAUAGAUAUGAUGUCACCUAGACAUAUCUAUAUGCAUGUGGUACCAAUUCAUCAUAAUCUUGGAUAACUUAACUCAAGUGUUUUAUAUCAUCGUCUCUAAAACAUUUUAGAUCAUCGUCUCUAGAAUAACAGUAAACUAGAUCAUCGUCUCUAGGAUACUCAUCAAUAGACUCAACUUAUGAAUGCAUGAAAUGUGCAUCUACCAAACAUAUGGUAUCAACUAUCAAUACAUCAUCAUUAUAAUAUGGAUAACUUAAUCCAUCUUCAUCAUCAUAAGCAUCAUCAUCAUCAUCAUUAUCAUCAUCAUCAUAAAAUAUAGCAACUUAGCUAAAUUAUUCACAUCAUCAUUAUUUUAAUUAAUAACUCAAAACAUCAUUGUUAACAUCAUCAAUUUAAUCAUUAACACAUAAUUAGUUAGCUACUCAAAACAUCGUAAUUUAAUCAACAUAGAUUAAUCAUCAAGAUCUACUAAUCCUAGGGAAAUUAGAAUUAAUCCACACUAACAUAGGUUUUUAAAGCAUUUUCAAGUUAAAACAGGGCCUUGUAUCGAUACAAAACACAACUUGUAUCGGUACAAGUUCGUUAUUAUUUCCAAGUUUCUACAUAAUUCACACAUGUAUGUAUCGAUACAUACACUCCUAUAUAUCGGUACAUACACGCGAUUUUCCAAACUAUCAAAAGGUAGGUUAACUUAAAUUCUACCUUUAGUACAUUUCAUUCAUUUACACAUUAUUAACAAACACUUGGAAGACACUAAUUUACAUCAAUCAUGAGAAUCAAAAUAAUCAUCACUAUUUUUACCAAAACAUGGAAAUACCCAAAUAACAACAAUCAACAACAACAACAAGUAAAAGCAUAGAUUUUUAUCAUAUUAUAACAUCAUCAAAUCAUGGAUAAACAUUUAUCAACAUGUGAUUCAACAUAAAAAUCUAUAAUAACACAUUCCCAAUUUCCCUCAAUUAAAACCCAAAACCCAAAAAGAGAUGUGAGAGUUUGAGCUAGAGAAAUGUGAUUUCUCCCCUCUCAUUAACCAUCUCAUCUCAUAGCUACAAAAUCCAACCUCUUACCUUGUAUUAAUGUUGGAAACUCUAGUCCUCCACUCCUCUUGAAUCCUCAAGCUCCAAGUUACUCUUUGCUCUUGCAUUUCUCUUCUUUUUCUUCAUUUUCCCCGAAUUCCUAACUGUACAUUGCGAGCAUGAUUUCUCCCACCUCAGACCUUAUUUUAACGAUCCCAACGGUCAAAAGUUGUGUUUGUAUGUUGCAAACCUACCCUCAAAAUCUUGUUGAGAUCCAACGGUUAACGAAUCUGCAAUCGAAGUUUUAGUGGAGCUGAUGCAUGGAAAACGAGAUUUGUUUCUCUACUCUCAUUCUUUCCCUUUUUCUUUCUUUUCUCCCUUCUCUUUCUUCCUCUCUUUUCUCUUCUUUAAGCCAAA